RNAcentral lists this small nuclear RNA (146 nucleotides) under Carlito syrichta (Philippine tarsier). RNAcentral describes it as "U2 spliceosomal RNA (ENSTSYG00000022786.2)". It matches the Rfam family "U2 spliceosomal RNA", at positions 1 to 149 of the family's 192-position model. Rfam says of the family: U2 is a small nuclear RNA (snRNA) component of the spliceosome (involved in pre-mRNA splicing). The record is from RNAcentral. Lineage: Eukaryota; Metazoa; Chordata; Mammalia; Primates; Tarsiidae.
AUCGCUUCUCAUCCUUUUGGCUAAGAUCAAGCAUAGUAGCUGUUCUUAUCAAUUUAAUUUCUGAUAUGUCCUCUAUCCAAGAAUAUAUUAAAUGGGUUUUUGAAAAUAGGAGAUGAAAUAGGCACUUGCUCCAUCCACUAACAAAA